GAAGAGGAAGGAGGCCGCAGCUUCGCGCCCCGCCUCUCGCUUGGCGGGCCUGAGAGCGGAGGGGGCGGGCCAUGGGGGGUCUGGACGCAGUCACGGUGUCCUCCCCGCAGUCCUCCCGAGUCUCCGAGGAAUGCUAAUGUCACCCGAGGAUGCUGGGCGAAGCGCUGAGCCGACCUUUCCGUUAGGCUAAAGCUCUGAAUUUUCAAACCCAGGAAUCACAGGGUCCGGGUCAUCGACUUUGCUAAAUAAUGCCUGGAAACCUGUUGCAGUCUCCUUUGAGAAAGCUGGUUUUAUGGUACCUGAAGGGCACUGGCCGUGCAAGGCCCCUAAACCGGGUCACAGAUGUGGGAGAGACUAACUCGGGUGGCUCUCGCUCUUCUGGCCUUUCCCUGAGGCUCGGUCGGGACCAGGAACGAGGUUCCAAGUAGCUGGAUUCAAAGUAUUCUGUUCUGAGGACUGGCAGUGCACAAGGAAGUCCCCGGCCCCACCCGUAUGCGGCAUAAGGAAAUGUUGAAAAGACUGCCCGGGUCAAUAAACCUGGACGUGGCAAAUUUCAAAGGCAGUAAUUCAAACACAGGACUCUGCUUUGAGUGAUGAAGAGGCCCUGAAGCUGCGGAGAGAUUGCACAAACCACGAUAAUGGCCAGCAUGGAUGGAGGGAGCAUCUGAGUUGUGCGGCGCACUGUGCUACAUCUCAGCUAACUCUAGGAGGUAAGUGUGUUUGCUGUGGUAAAAUACAUAUUUGGUCUUCAUUUCCGUUUUCCUGGCAUUCAGUUUCUAAAAUGCUUAGAAUCACUGCAGUGAUGUCUUUUGUAUGAUAAUGAGUUCACUGUUGGCUGGCAGCCCUUAGGUGGCUUCAGGGUGGGGACUGAUCAUUGUGAAGACCAAGGCUGGAUUAGAGGGCUGGCACUUUCAGUCCCAUCUCCUAACCUGCAAGGAGGGGAGAGAAGCUAAUGGCUAAGUUGAUCACCAGUGGCCAAUGAUUUAAUCAAUCAUGCCUACAUAAUGAAGCCUCCAUAAAAACCCAAAAAGGACUCUGUGCAGAGAGUUCCAAUAACUGAACGCGUGGAGGUUCAUGGAGGGUGACGCUUCAGGGUGGGCACUAAAGCUCUGAGCUUCUUCUCGUAUACCUUGCCCUGUACAUUGCUUCAUCUGUAUCCUUUGUCGUAUCCUUUAUAGUAAACUGGUAGUCCUGAGUAAGGGGUUCCCUGAGUUCUGUGAGCCACUCUAGCAGAUUAGUGGACCUAAGAAGUGGGUCAUGAGAACCCCAAUUUUUAGCCAAUCAGAAGCACAGGUAAAAUAACCUGGGGCUUGCAAUUGGCAUCAGAAGGUGGAGGGGUAGACAGUACUGGGGACUGAGCCCUUAACCUGUGGGAUCUGAUGCUAUCUCCAAGAAGACAGUGUCAGAAUUAAAUGGAAUUGAACCCAGCUGGUGUCCCCUGCAGAAUUGAUUGCUUGCUUGUUGGUGGGGAGAAAUCCCUUGCAUAUUUGGUCACAUAAGUCUUCUCUGUUGAUUGGUGUUGUAUUAGAACAGAGGAAAAACAAUUUGAGUUUUUCCAUGCUCAGUAUGAUAAUGAUCCUUAUUUCGUAGCGUCAGAAACUAAGGAUUGAAAACAUUAAUAAACUUGCCCAAGGCCACAUAGCUAGUGGGCUAGUUAUGGUAGCUAUUAUGCUCGUUCAACUCCCAUUCCAUAUUCUAUUUGGAAAAAUUAGAGUGCUAAAAGCCACAUGUCCCAGACCAUUUGCAUCUCACAUACAGGAAGCAAAUUGAGCUUUGUCAAUUAGAUGUGUUCCUGCUCAGUCUGGUAGGUAGAAGUGAAACAGAAGCCUUCUUUCUGCUUUCUGGUCCAACUGACAUGACAGUUGGUGGCAGCUAGAUUCCAAGUUUGGGUCUAGUCACUAUUUUCGUGGGCAUGAGAGCCACUUGGGUUGGGGGAGAAGGAUGGCAGCGGGAGUGAUUUUCUGAAUUCUGGCCUUUAGCUAUGGUGGUACUGCCCUGACAUCAACAACCACUGAUUGCCCUCUGAGUUUUCUUCCUCUGUCUCAUAAAUAUUUUUUUCAACUGAUAAUUGUAGAUUAAAAUGAUUUUUAAGAAAUGAUACAGUGACAUAGUUGUGUCUUCAAAUACUCUAGUGCAAUAACACAAGCAGCAUAUUGGCAUUGAUACAAUGUACCAAUCUCAUUCAGAUUUCCUCAGUUUUUGUACUCAUUUGUGCAAGAGUUAUGUAUAUUU
Sapajus apella (tufted capuchin) is the source of this 2232-nucleotide long non-coding RNA. RefSeq lists it as uncharacterized. Lineage: Eukaryota; Metazoa; Chordata; Mammalia; Primates; Cebidae. The transcript has 3 exons. The record is from RefSeq and is a predicted model, not a curated record.